Paramisgurnus dabryanus is the source of this 4265-nucleotide non-coding RNA. The record is from RefSeq and is a predicted model, not a curated record. NCBI's taxonomy places the organism in Eukaryota, Metazoa, Chordata, Actinopteri, Cypriniformes, Cobitidae.
GAUAAAAUUACCCGAAAGUGUUGUCAUUGUUAAAUAAAUUACGGAUGUGCGUCUUUGCGUCAAGGUCGUGAUUCUACAUAACAACAUCCGCUUGACCUCGCAAUGCCAAGAAGAAGAAAGGCGUGGAACAUUUGCUUAAGCCUGUCAAGAUCUUCAGCAGAUGUUUGAGCAAAAGUCAUCAUCCUCUUCGUCACUCUUCAUCCGUAUUUGGGGUAACAAGCACCUGCUUCCCACAAGAGACUGGACAGCUGAUGUCAGACCUGCACCUUCCUUGAACAUGUUGGUAUCUUACUCUGUAUUUGUUCACGGUGGUCACCCCAGGGUCUCAGGACUCAAAUUGAGUGCUCUAUGGAUUAAACAGAAAAUGCAGUAUAAACAAGUGUUAUGUUGUCUUCAACAUGUUGGUAACUUACUCUGUAUUUGUUCACGGUGGUCACCCCAGGGUCUCAGGACUCAAAACGAGUGCUCUAUGGAUUGAACAUAAAAUGUAGUAUAAACAAGUGUUAUGUUUUUAAAUGCCACUAAUAAUGUGUUUCUGUUUUCUUUCUCAUUAUGCUAACAAACGCUCUUUUACCCCUCAUGUUAGGUAGAUCAACACUCCAACCAUCUGCAUUAGGGACUGAAUAAAGGAUGCCCUCUGUAGCUGGGAAUGUUAGAUCAGGCGGAUCAACAUUCCAUCCAUCUGCAUUAGGAUCUACCUUAGAGACACUCACUGGAGCUGUAAAUGGGAAGCAGGUCACUUACUUUGCAUUCGUCGUCCUUGGUGGUCACCCAAGGGUCUCUAGAGUGAAAAUUACUCAAUCUAUGGAUUAAACAGAAAAUUUAGUUGUAUGAAGUGGUAUGUUGUCUUUAAAUGCCAUUAAAAAUGUGUUUCUGUUUUCUGUCUCAUAUUAAGAAAUACUCUUUAACCUGCCCACUGGAGCUGGGAAUGCAAUUUGGGACAUUCUUCCAGUUGUCGGGAACUUUGUGAAAAAGGCUGGAAACUUAAAUGCAGAAUUCUGGCCUGGUGUUUGGUCUGUGCUGUCUUUGGCUCUUGCAUCUCCAUCAUCCUGACCCUCUUUAGCAGCCUGUCCAUGUAUUUAUUUGGAGGCCACCAUGAGCACCCAUCUGCAUAAUAUGACUUUGUUACUCAGAUGUCCAUGCGCUCCUACAAAUUCUACAUUUUUUGUAAAGCUGCAACAAGUUGAAACCCUAUAAUUAUUAACGUUUGAUUUUGAAAUAUGUAAUUCCAAUACAUGAAUAAGUAACAAAAGCAGAAAUUUAUUAAGAUAUUACCUUUUUGUUGCUUGUUUACUGAUCUAUCAAUCCUUUUGCAUUUUCAUAAUUGUUCAUCAUAACUUGGUAUACAGUGGAUGUGUGGCUGCAGAUAACUUUCUGAAGUCAAUUUAAAAAGACAAAAGUUAAUAAAUGCUGAAUUGGUCAAAUAUACAUUGUUGUAUUUUCACCAUUUUGAUGUUUAGUCAUUUCAUAACUUGAGGGUUAAUUCACGUAUAGUGAUGUUUCAAAUCAAAGAUUAAUUUAUUAAUGACAGCUAAUCAUUUUAUAAAGAUUUUUAUUACAAUAUUUAUUUAUAUAAUAUCAAUUUAAUACAUUUAAUUCGUUACACCUACAUUACUGAGCGCAAGGGAGUGCAGCCAACAAAUACAUUCAGGUGUGUUCGACUUAACACCGAGAUGCGCAGACAGCACGUGGUAUGACAUCAAAGUACCGCGAGAGUUUGGGAAAGCCCCGGAAAAGGUUUGAUCUCGCGGUACUUGAUGUCACGAUCGGUUUGCGUGUAGAUCAGCAUGAAGUAGAACACAUCUGAAAGAUGUGUGGGCUGCCUGCACUCAACGUUGCGAUAAUUCAGUAGAGUGUAACCUCAAUCGGUUUUUGCAGCUUCUGGGUGUCGUGUCGAACGGUCGCAGAACGAUUUUUUGUUCUUUUCCAACUCGAUUUUUAACUCCCUAGACUAGUAGGAUGUUCCAACGGGUGAAGCAACAGUGCUGACGGCCGGCAGAGUUUCAGUGUCAAUUUUUCAUGCCAUGAUCACUGGGGCGGAAACCAUUAUGACGUUGCCUUGGACAUCAAACUAAACCAUCUCAUUCUGGCUUUUUUCUAACAUCGAAAUCUCAGAAGGCCAGGACUAAGAUGGACGCAGCCUCCACAUGCAACCUUGCAUUUGAGGAACACCCAUAGAACGGUCAACUUACCCCAUACUCUAACCUGAAUGCAGUGAUCAUAAAACUUUAUCUUUUACCUUAAUUGUUAGAUGGGUGUUGAUACCAAACUAUUUUUUCUCGUCUACCCAGGAGAAAGUCAUGGGUUCUGCUGCUGAGGUUGUCAUAAAGCAUGCUUUUUCCAUUUGUUGCAUUGGGCAAUAUUAUCAAAAGAUUCUGAAAGAAAUAAGAUAAUUUUCAAAGCAUUAACAUGAAUAUGAAAGCAUUAAGUCAUUAAUGACCAUCUUUUAUUAUUGUUUAUUUAUAGUGUCUUUUAUUCUGCUUACCUGACUCAUGCAGAAUUCUGGCUUGAUGUUUGGUCCACCUGUUAGCUGGCUCUGGUGCUUGGUAGUCUUCUCAAACCUCUGAAUCAAGGCCACCAUGAGAGGCCUUCUGAAGACCAUCAUUACGCUUCAGAUCCAGUUGUCUUAACUAUGAGCCUACCACAAUCCCUGUGCACCAGCUAUGGAAAGUGCAGACCAAACUUCUACCUCCACCUAUAGAACUGAACUGGAGUCUGUGAACUAUAGCUGUGUUCGAGACAACUGGAACAGCAAACAAAGUUGAGUAUCCGACCUCUCAACUUGUGACUGAUCGAUCAGCACCAACCUCAACGAGAUGCAUCAUUUGACAUUGCAGACAAGAUCCUUUCUCUUUUUAAUGCAGCACUUAAGGAUGAAGCACCCUGAUCUACUAAGAUGCACAGAUUCAACUCUGGCCCAGCAUCAUCCCCACACCUCAUCUGCCAUCAGUUUAAUUUAAUGUCUGUCAAUUGCAAAUGCUAUUUAUUUCAGUUAUAUUACAACUUAAUGUUAACUUUAAUUGAGACUAGUAUUGUGUAAAGCUGGGGUUUCCAAACUUUUCAUUUCAAAACCUAUUAGACAAGUAUAAUCUAUUCUAGACCCACUAAAAUAUUUUUACAUAUACAUUUUUUUAAUGGGGUAAAACACAUUUGUUCUCUUUCAGUGGAGUCAUUUUAUUUUCAUAAUAUUUCAUAAUGUAAAGCAGUGGUUCUUAACGUUAUUCCUCGAGGCCCACUGCUCUGCACAUUUUGUAUGUCUCUUUUAUCUGACAGACUCAGUUCAGUUCAUUGAGAUCUCUUCUAAUGAGCUGAUGAUUUGAAUCAGGUGUGUUAAAUAAGGGAGACAUACAAAAUGUGCAGGGCAGUGGGCCUCGAGGAAUAACAUUAAGAACCACUGAUGUAAAGUAAAUACAAGUUUAUUUGCAAUACCAAAUAUUUUAUGGUAUAUUCUUUCAAAACCAUUGUCAUUGUUAAUUAUUAAUUUGGCCAAACUGUUGUUGCAUCAUUAAGGUGUGCAACACACCUUAACCUACUGUGUGACCGACAAGUGGGUCCUCCUGACACACAGUUUAAAAUCCCCUGGUGUACUGAAUGUAUUGUAAUUAAAGUCGCAUCAAAGUCUUGUGUAACAGUCUCCAUUAUUUAAAUUGUGAUUAUAUUCACAGUUUCACAUGAUACUUUCAGCACUUACUACAUCACAGUGUUUUUAAUGCUUUAAUUUUUAGGUUUAUUAUAAAUUCAUUCAUUUUUAAAGAAUUCUUUCUUUAUGUAGAACAUGCAAAGUCUAAAAUGGAAAGUGUCAUGAUCAGCUCUGGGUCUUGUGCAGUGAUUAAAAGAGCAGGUAGUAAAUGUCAUAGCUUUGCAGUAUAUUGGUAGGCUCUGGAUGUAAUGAACAUUCAGAACAUAUGUUUCAUAAAUUAAAUUUGGUAAACAAACUUGUCAGAACAAUUCAUGCUGUGAUGAUGGAUAAUACCUGGUCAAAUUAAUACAUGUAUAAUGUGUUUCGACAUUGUAUAAGGUUUCUUCAUCUAUACAGAGAUCUGUUAGAGAACGGUGCAGAGACUGCUGUCCAUUAUUGGUUACAGUAUAUUUGUUAAAAUGUUGCCAGUAAGAUUAUUUCCGUGUACAAUGUACUUUCUUUGAGAACCUUAAGUGUUUUAUUCUGCACUUAAAGCAUAAACGCAAUUUAAAUGCAGGAGUCCCCUCGUCCUUACUGCCAAAUAUGCAAGUGAAACUGGACUAAACGCAUACAGUAUACAUACGGG